Molecule: ribosomal RNA, 253 nt
Filed under: uncultured bacterium
Lineage: Bacteria
Description: partial 16S ribosomal RNA
Rfam family: Bacterial small subunit ribosomal RNA
Source: RNAcentral
GACAGAGGGUGCGAACGUUGCUCGGAAUUACUGGGCGUAAAGCGCGUGUAGGCGGGUGAUCAAGUCAGGUGUGAAAUCCCCAGGCUCAACCUGGGAACUGCACUUGAAACUGGUUGCCUUGAGUGUUGGAGAGGGAAGCGGAAUUCCUGGUGUAGAGGUGAAAUUCGUAGAUAUCAGGAGGAACACCGGUGGCGAAGGCGGCUUCCUGGACAAUUACUGACGCUGAGACGCGAAAGCGUGGGGAGCAAACAGG